AACUCUCAAGCAGAGAUAGCUUUGUUGCUGUUUUUGCUUGGAUUUGGACUUUGCUGUGUCAAUGCGGCUGGUCUUAAAUGUAUUAGCUGAUCCUUAUGGUGGUUUGGUUCUACUCAGCGUGAUAAUUAUCUAGCGUUGAGGACAGUCUUAGGACUGGCCAGAGCUUAUAUUUGGAUUGCUUCUAAUUGUCCUUUGGACAUAUUAAUCAAUU
Molecule: unclassified non-coding RNA, 211 nt
Filed under: uncultured Hydnum
Lineage: Eukaryota; Fungi; Basidiomycota; Agaricomycetes; Cantharellales; Hydnaceae
Description: sequence contains ITS2
Source: RNAcentral